ACGGAAGGCAGCAGUGGGGAAUAUUGCACAAUGGGCGAAAGCCUGAUGCAGCGACGCCGCGUGAGCGAAGAAGUAUUUCGGUAUGUAAAGCUCUAUCAGCAGGGAAGAUAAUGACGGUACCUGACUAAGAAGCACCGGCUAAAUACGUGCCAGCAGCCGCGGUAAUACGUAUGGUGCAAGCGUUAUCCGGAUUUACUGGGUGUAAAGGGAGCGUAGGCGGUUUUACAAGUCUGAUGUGAAAGCCCGGGGCUCAACUCCGGUAUUGCAUUGGAAACUGUAGAACUAGAGCGUCGGAGGGGUAAGUGGAAUUCCUAGUGUAGCGGUGAAAUGCGUAGAUAUUAGGAGGAACACCAGUGGCGAAGGCGGCUUACUGGACGAUUACUGACGCUGAGGCUCGAAAGCGUGGGGAGCAAACAGGAUUAGAUACCCUGGUA
This 434-nucleotide ribosomal RNA is filed under the name uncultured Pseudobutyrivibrio sp. Its description in RNAcentral is "partial 16S ribosomal RNA". It matches the Rfam family "Bacterial small subunit ribosomal RNA", at positions 341 to 792 of the family's 1533-position model. The record is from RNAcentral. Lineage: Bacteria; Bacillati; Bacillota; Clostridia; Lachnospirales; Lachnospiraceae.